GGGGUCGACUGGUUUUGACAGCGAGACCGGGUUGAUCGUAAGCAUGUAGAGCGCUGGGCCAUAGCUCUUAAAUCUCAUGAUUCAUCUUUUUUAAACGGCGAGAAUAACUACGCCCUAGCUGCAUAAUCCGAAUCAUAGUAGGAUAGUGCCUCGGUCUGCAAGGCAGACAAGCAGGAAUUCUCUCAAAGGCCUUGGUUUAUGGCACUUGAUCUAGAGAAUUCGUAAAAAUAAACCUAUCUGUCGCAGGGCUUUGAUGCGACGGAGAACUCCCGAUAGCUAUCGGGAUGAGUGAAGAUAAGGGAUGCGCAGGUGGUUCCUGGCCAGCAAGUCCACGAAAAUCUAAAUAGGAACUAAACAUGUAGAAAGCGAUGAAGUCGCUCGUUUGGACGAGGGUUCGAACCCCUCCGACUCCACCU
Molecule: transfer-messenger RNA, 416 nt
Filed under: Nonlabens spongiae
Lineage: Bacteria; Pseudomonadati; Bacteroidota; Flavobacteriia; Flavobacteriales; Flavobacteriaceae
Description: Standard tmRNA
Rfam family: transfer-messenger RNA
About the family: Bacterial tmRNA, also known as 10Sa RNA or SsrA, is named for its dual tRNA and mRNA-like properties.
Source: Rfam by way of RNAcentral